UGUUCGUUAUUUAGGGCGCAUGGUGGAUGCCUUGGCAUGCUGAGCCGAUGAAGGACGUGAAAGGCUGCGUUAAGCCUCGGGGAGUUGUCAAUUGAGCGUUGAUCCGAGGAUGUCCGAAUGGGGAAACCUGGCACCUGUUAUGGGGUGUUACCCUUCAGUGAAUUCAUAGCUGUUGUGGGGGUUACGCGGGGAAGUGAAACAUCUCAGUACCCGUAGGAGAAGAAAAUAAUAAUGAUUCUGCUAGUAGUGGCGAACGAACGUGGAUGAGGCUAAACCGUGUGCAUGUGAUACCUGGUAGGGGUUGUGUGUGCGGUGUUGUGGGCCCUGAUGAGGAUGGCUACUGACGUCCUGCCCGCGCAUUGUUGUUAGGUGAAGUGGUGUGGAAACGCCUGCCGUAGAAGGUGAUAGUCCUGUAGCUGAAGAUGAUGGUGUGUGGGUUGUUGGGUUGCCCGAGUAGCAGCGGGCUCGUGGAAUCUGCUGUGAAUCUGCCGGGACCACCCGGUAAGCCUAAAUACUCAGUGUGACCGAUAGUGGAUAGUACCGUGAGGGAAUGGUGAAAAGUACCCCGGGAGGGGAGUGAAAUAGUUCCUGAAACCAUGUGCUUACAAUCCGUCAGAGCACUUUUUGUGUGUGAUGGCGUGCCUUUUGAAGAAUGAGCCUGCGAGUCAGCGGCAUGUCGCGAGGUUAACCCGUGUGGGGUAGCCGUAGGGAAACCGAAUCCUAAUGGGGUGUUUAGUGGCAUGUCCUGGACCCGAAGCGGGGUGAUCUACCCAUGGCCAGUGUGAAGCAGCAGUAAGAUGCUGUGGAGGCGCGAACCCACGUAGGUUGAAAACUGCGGGGAUGAGCUGUGGGUAGGGGUGAAAGGCCAAUCAAACUCCGUGAUAGCUGGUUCUCCCCGAAAUGCAUUUAGGUGCAGCGUCGCAUUAGCUUGGUGGAGGUAGAGCUACUGGUUGGUUGAGCGGGACUACAAUCUUAGCAAUGUCAGCCAAACUCCGAAUGCCAUUAAUGUGUUGUGCGGCAGUGAGACUG
RNAcentral lists this ribosomal RNA (1029 nucleotides) under Corynebacterium striatum. RNAcentral describes it as "partial 23S ribosomal RNA". It matches the Rfam family "Bacterial large subunit ribosomal RNA", at positions 1 to 991 of the family's 2925-position model. Lineage: Bacteria; Bacillati; Actinomycetota; Actinomycetes; Mycobacteriales; Corynebacteriaceae. The record is from RNAcentral.